ACUCAACACUAACAAAUUAAACGAGUGAAUCUUUGCAACUAUAACAGGCCCUUAAGUGGGAAGUUUGAACUGCAGGUUAGCUCAAAUCUUGUAUAACAGAGUUU
This 104-nucleotide small RNA is filed under the name Flavobacterium cheniae. RNAcentral describes it as "6S-Flavo RNA". The record is from RNAcentral. Lineage: Bacteria; Pseudomonadati; Bacteroidota; Flavobacteriia; Flavobacteriales; Flavobacteriaceae. RNAcentral also lists the same sequence under 1 other name.